Molecule: long non-coding RNA, 366 nt
Filed under: Androctonus crassicauda
Lineage: Eukaryota; Metazoa; Arthropoda; Arachnida; Scorpiones; Buthidae
Source: RNAcentral
UUAGCAGUGAGUUUAUGCCUAAAAUCUUUAUUUAAUAGCUAACAUUUUUGGCAAUCAAUACCAUAUUCAGGUUACAAAAAUUAUGUAUAGUAACAAGGGUCUUAUGUAUGCAAAUAGUCUUGGACAUGCCAGUGCUUUUAAUUUUUUGUUAAUUUUUGAUACACAGAAGUUAAUUUUUUUAACUAGGCCAAUAGUAGCAAGAGCAAGGGGUGAUAAUAUAUGUAUAGAAGCUAUGUAUAAGUUAAUGUUAAUGUAUAUGUUAUAUGUUUCUUUUUUGUUGAUAAGUCACCAUAGCAAUGUUUUGUAUUGCUGUAACUAAAUGACUAGGUGUUUAAUACUGGUUCGAUUUUUGUGGCCUGAGGAUGG